Molecule: long non-coding RNA, 930 nt
Organism: Brassica oleracea var. oleracea
Lineage: Eukaryota; Viridiplantae; Streptophyta; Magnoliopsida; Brassicales; Brassicaceae
Exons: 2
Source: RefSeq, a predicted model, not a curated record
AAAGCACAAACUAACCUUUUUAUUCUCGCCUCGUCGUCGUCUCUCAGACUUCUUCGUUUCUUCCGUCAAAUCAAAAAUGGUAGACACCGUCGAAGCUCUCAUCGAACAACUGAUUGAUAGAGCUUCCGGCUGGGCUCAACUCGGGUACUGGCAUAUAGGUCAAGAGGAGGAUAUUCGUCAAGCUCUGGAACUAAGUGUGGUGAAGACUCUGCUGAGAGUUUAGCGAUAUAUCUCAAAAAUGGGAAGCGUUUGCUUGAGGCGUCUAAAGGAGAGAUUGGCGAACGUGAACGAUCUGUUCUUGUUGAUUUAGCAUGUGAGAUGCUCAAAUCUGCAAGGAAGAUUGUUCUUCUUGGGAGAAGAAAGCUCUUUUCACCAAAAGAAAUAAGUUGAGAGAGUCAUAACUUGGCUUGGUGACAGCUUAUUUGUCUUGGCUCUUAAGAAUUUUAAAGAAGCUCUGCAGAUGCUUGAGCAUACCUCCUUCUCUCCAAAUGCUUGAGCAUACCUCCUUCUCUCCAAACCAGGCUAAGCUGUGUGCUCUUUUUACUCUUGUUUUAUCCAUGUUUGUUUGUGUGUGCUUGUUUGUUGACGUCUUGAUGCUCUGAAACACUGCGAAAUAAGUGUUGCCAUGUCCAAAGAGUUGAUCAAGAAGAUGAAGACUGUCGAUGAGUACUUUGGCUCAGAAGAAGCUUAAAGUUUGUGCUAGGGAUGUUGAAGGAGAAAGAGAAGAGGAACCUGCUACCUUUUUGGCCAAGAAGAGGAGGCUGGAAGAUGUGAUGUCUUUGACCCGUGAAUCGGAAGAUACUUAGUAGUAAAAAAUAGAAGAGAGGGUUUAUUUUCUUUUGUCUCAUCAACCCAACUGUUCAUGCAUAGACAUAGACUUCUCUGUUAAAUAAUCUAACCUAAAAAAAAAAGCAAAGACAAGACUUGAUU